Long non-coding RNA from Melitaea cinxia (Glanville fritillary), 145 nucleotides. RefSeq lists it as uncharacterized. The record is from RefSeq and is a predicted model, not a curated record. The transcript has 3 exons. NCBI's taxonomy places the organism in Eukaryota, Metazoa, Arthropoda, Insecta, Lepidoptera, Nymphalidae.
UGACUUAAAACAUUGUUGCUAUAUAAAUACCUAAGUCUGCAAUCUGUGAACAUAGCCUAGACAGAGUUAACCAUUAUAUUAGAUUUGAUGAACCACACGUCCUCGCCAAAAGAAUACCGAUUCCAACCAAGGAUGAUCCGUGAGG